RNAcentral lists this ribosomal RNA (443 nucleotides) under uncultured bacterium. RNAcentral's name for it is "bacterial SSU rRNA". It matches the Rfam family "Bacterial small subunit ribosomal RNA", at positions 28 to 452 of the family's 1533-position model. The record is from RNAcentral.
GACGAACGCUGGCGGCGUGCCUAACACAUGCAAGUCGAACGGAACUUUUUUAAAGGAUUUCUUCGGAAUGAAUUUGAUUAAGUUUAGUGGCGGACGGGUGAGUAACGCGUGAGUAACCUGCCUCUAAGAGGGGAAUAACAUUCUGAAAAGAAUGCUAAUACCGCAUAAUAUAUAUUUAUCGCAUGGUAGAUAUAUCAAAGAUUUAUCGCUUAGAGAUGGACUCGCGUCCGAUUAGUUAGUUGGUGAGGUAACGGCUCACCAAGACCGCGAUCGGUAGCCGGACUGAGAGGUUGAACGGCCACAUUGGGACUGAGACACGGCCCAGACUCCUACGGGAGGCAGCAGUGGGGGAUAUUGCGCAAUGGGGGAAACCCUGACGCAGCAACGCCGCGUGAAGGAUGAAGGUCUUCGGAUUGUAAACUUCUUUUAUUAAGGACGAAGAA